CCUGGCGGCCGUAGCGCGGUGGUCCCACCUGACCCCAUGCCGAACUCAGAAGUGAAACGCCGUAGCGCCGAUGGUAG
Molecule: ribosomal RNA, 77 nt
Filed under: Escherichia coli
Lineage: Bacteria; Pseudomonadati; Pseudomonadota; Gammaproteobacteria; Enterobacterales; Enterobacteriaceae
Also listed under: 8 other names
Source: RNAcentral